This 111-nucleotide ribosomal RNA is filed under the name Caerostris darwini. Lineage: Eukaryota; Metazoa; Arthropoda; Arachnida; Araneae; Araneidae. The record is from RNAcentral.
AUGGCCGUACCAUGGUGAAUAUACCGGUUCUCGUUAGAUCACCGAAGUUAAGCAUCAUUGGGCGCGGUCAGUACUUGGGUGGGUGACCACCUGGGAACACUGCGUGCCGUU